GAUGAACGCUGGCGGCGUGCCUAAUACAUGCAAGUCGAGCGAACAGACGAGGAGCUUGCUCCUCUGACGUUAGCGGCGGACGGGUGAGUAACACGUGGAUAACCUACCUAUAAGACUGGGAUAACUUCGGGAAACCGGAGCUAAUACCGGAUAAUAUAUUGAACCGCAUGGUUCAAUAGUGAAAGACGGUUUUGCUGUCACUUAUAGAUGGAUCCGCGCCGCAUUAGCUAGUUGGUAAGGUAAAGGCUUACCAAGGCAACGAUGCGUAGCCGACCUGAGAGGGUGAUCGGCCACACUGGAACUGAGACACGGUCCAGACUCCUACGGGGGGCAGCAGUAGGGAAUCUUCCGCAAUGGGCGAAAGCCUGACGGAGCAACGCCGCGUGAGUGAUGAAGGUCUUCGGAUCGUAAAACUCUGUUAUUAGUGAAGAACAAAUGUGUAAGUAACUAUGCACGUCUUGACGGUACCUAAUCAGAAAGCCACGGCUAACUACGUG
RNAcentral lists this ribosomal RNA (497 nucleotides) under uncultured bacterium. Its description in RNAcentral is "partial 16S ribosomal RNA". It matches the Rfam family "Bacterial small subunit ribosomal RNA", at positions 28 to 507 of the family's 1533-position model. The record is from RNAcentral.